GCAUACUGAAGGAGAAGCCGGAUGUACCUGUGCAGCCUUCCUGUAUGUACGGGUUUCCUUUGAAGCCAGGAGAACACUUGCAACGAUACCCCAUAAAUAUUUUCCCAUGGGUCACGUUUAGGCAAGAACUAUUUUCACUGCGGCAUGCAUACUUAGUAAUAUUCUGCAAAGCUUGUUCACAAGUUGAAUUGGUAACCGCCCAUCUUAUGACAAUGUCGACAUAUUCCAUAGAAAAAUCAAGUCGAUCUUCCACGGGGCCGCUGACGUCCAUACCUCCGCUCUCGUCAGUCGAAACUAUUAUCUCUUCUUUUCCAGUGCUCGCAUUGCUUAGCAUGUUUCUUACAUUCAAAGUUCCAUCUUCUAUUGAGAUACCAGUCACGCGGUACUGUAUAUCUCCUGUGCUAAAAAGCGUGUCACCUGCUGCUGUACAAUUAAGUCGGAACUUUUCGUUUCCAAAACAACCUUCUUCGAACCCAAAAGGGAAGGAAAUGUUCAUGUUUCCACAUGACCUCCGGCAGUGUUCUGUAGACUCGGGGUUGUAAUCUCCUUCAUAAUAUAUUAACAUAUAGUAAGAAUAAGCAAAAGCAAGUGGUUAAAACUUAAACAUGUUCAUUUCUUAAGAGAAAAGUAAGGAGGGAGUACCUUGCGUGCAACCUUCGGAAAGGUAAGGAUUGCCGCCCUGGUCGGAAUAAGAAUAACGGGAGCAGUAACAGUAGUAACCCCCAUAUGAUGACGCAUUUCUACAAAUGCUGUUGGUGGCACAAGCAUAACUUGCGCUGUUCAUUCGCGCGCUUUCGCAGCUUGGUUGAUCCGUGAUGGCAACCUCAACAACAGCACCAUCGAUCUUUCUUGUGUUUGUCCAACCCAAUAAAAGGUCAGUCAUGUUUUGCGUGAAAUAAUACUCACCGACAUCUGAUAUGAAAGCCAUGAUGCGAGGGUACAUAGAACUUGCAGAUGAUUGUCCUGCCAUACCAUCAGCCCGAGAAAAUGUUGCCUGAAAGCCUGACAUGGCAUUCCGUAAACUGAUGAAACAGCAACCAAUCCCGUUGCAAGGCCCUCGAGUUGGCAAUACCCCCCCGUGGCACCUACUCAUGCAGGAGCCGACAGGGUUUCUCUCAUAAUCGAACAAGUUGACAUCAAAGUCACAUCCAAGGACAAAGAAAUCGUUAUCUCUACUGGUAAUAGUAAUACCCUUAGCGGGAGCCUCCCACUCCCAAGACAUAUUGUUUCUACCUGGUCCAAAGGAACUGUUGAAGAACAUAGGGACCUCAACAAACCCAUCAUCAUCUAUCCACGUGAUCUCAGUUGUGCUGUUAUUCAUCAGAAACAGCUUUGGAGGUUGAGUGGUGUUGUCGCAGGUAACCUCGAAGCCUUGCCGGAAGCAGCCCGCCCCUAUGCCGAAGGGGUAGAAGAUCUUGACGUCCCCGCAGCUGGAGGGGCAGUGAGCUAUAGAGUCGGCGGACGGGAUAUACAGUAUCCCUCCGUCUCCCAAGGCUGCGGAUGCAGGCGGCAUGGCUGCCAAGCACGCCAGAACGAAAGCCAUGGCGCAAACCAUCACUCUGGCCGAGCUCAUCGUUACGCCAAUCAGCUUGUCUGCGUGUAAAAAUUGGUGUUAGUGUUCCGGGUUAAGGCAACUGCGCAUAUUCUGAAGCGACACAAGGUUUCGUGAAUGCUAGAUACAGUACUGUAUAAAGGCGUCCCUGAUGGGCAGAGUACAUCGCUGACCCGCAGUCGUCGCCCGCCGGGUCAGUCACGCGCGACUCGCCCAACGUGUGGUCGCUAGCAGGACGCUGACUCGUGCCCUGGUAGUUCUGUAAUCCCAAUGCGUGGUUUAGAAGAGCACAAAUCUGCAGGAUGAAAAAUCUUGCACAUUGAAUGCAGAUACCUUCCUUCACCAGGCCAACCUUCGAGGGCGAUAGUGCUACAGCGAGAGAGUUUACCAGGGUAGACUUUGUAUUGCCGCCUAGUCGCCAAUCAGCGAUUUUUCUGACGUAUAAUUCUUCCACAAGUAGCUCUCAAUCAGGACCCGAUCCCAUACGCCUACUUCUGCGAAAUUUGGUUAUUUACAACAUCAAAAUAAAGAAGCGGGGGGCAUAUGUGUACCAUUAAAAGAAAUUUUUUUAUUUUUUGUGGUUUUUACCAUAACAAUGUGGAAAAGCUCCAUAGUGGAGACGGCGUCAACGUGACCGGAAGAGAGGGAUUGGUGAGCCUUAUCUUAGUGGCUAGCGUCUCAUCCAGCUUGGCACGAGCCUUGGUGGCGAGUUCAAGAUAUUGACCGGAGGAGACUUGGUGAUCGGGAGCGUAUCCUUGGUGGAGCUCCAAAGUGGACUAGGGGUGAUAUUUGACUACUGAUACCACGGGAUAAAUCGUCGUGCCCGAGUUUGUAUCCUUCCUGACCCACUCUUUUUAUAUUUCCGCAUUUCAUACCUUUACUUUCUAGAGUAGUAUCUUAAUAGAAUCGGUUAUAGGUUGUAAAACUCUUUGUGGGUGGGAAGUUUCACUAGAGGGUGAAAGUUGUUUUCUAUUGACAAUCAGCUUCUCUAAAACAUCAUCUAUCAGCAAGUAGCCUAAUAAGAUGGUUGAAAUCAAAAUGUUGAUUAGUAAACCCACAAUAUAAUAUCAUAUAUUUUCAAACCAAAAUCAACUUGCAUACUAUGCUUCUUUAAUAACUUCCACAAUUUCACUAGUGGGAUGUAGAACAUCCCGUCACCCUUCACUUGCACUCUGUAUGCUCCUGUUCAUCACCUAAGCUAAACCUUUAGGACCAAUCAACAAACCUCACCAGGGGCUAUUUUCUUCUUUUUUUCUCGAAAUGAAACACCAGGGAAGUAAACGUGAUGCUAACUUGAAGUCUAUACUUUUCAGUGUACUACUUAAGUAAUUUUCGCAUUUACAUCCCAUUCCACAACUUGGCGUUGAUCUGUGGAGUCUUCUCACAAGUUACCAUAUAAGAUGUGAGCAGCUGAAAUGCACUUGAAAUCUGUCUCCAAAUAAAAAUAAAAUGCACUCGAAAAAUGGUUACGACUAUUAUUGGUCUGCAUAUCUCAAUCAUCUUUAUAGCAGGGGUGAUUUAAUAGUAGAAUUUAUUACACAUAAGGGACCGAAAAUCGACAUACUCUCUGCGUCCCAAAAUAAGUGCACUUCUAAAAUUUUUUUAGGAUGUAAUAGUAAUAAUGAGAAAUGACCUAUGUGCAACUAAUUAUUGCUGUUAAUUUUCGCAUACACAUUAAUGAACCAUUCUUUGGAAAGGAAAAUAUCAAGCAAUUAAAUAUGCAUGCACCUUGGAAAGGAAAAAAAAGCAAGACACUCUAGGAGCGUUCAUCUUGGAAAGGGAAAAAAUAUGGCAAUUAUGCAAUUAACUUUAAUUAGUUGGUUCAAAAGCUAGAAAUGCAUUUUUAUGCGACAAAAUUUGAAUCCUAAAAAUGCAGUACUCCCUCCGUCCUAAAUUAUAGGUCAUUUUGUCUUUUCUAGAUGCAUAGAUAUUAUUAUGUAUUUAAACAUGGUGGAAACCAUCUAUCCCGUGCAACCUUAGAAACUAUCAAUUAGGCUAUAAGAUGCUAAUCCUGACUUUUUUGUUUUUUAACCCUUUUCGCGAAAGAUUCUCACAAAUAGGCCCCUGGCGGAACCAAUUCCAAAAAUGGACCCUUAGCUUGGCGUCAUCCACGCUGGCGCCAAGCUACAACGUCUCGGCGCCAGCCAUCCUGGCGCCAAGGUCUUGCGCAGCUGCUGACGCGGAUGCCGACGUGGCGGGGGCUUGGCGCCAGCCAUGAUGGCGCCAAGCCUUGGCACUAGGAUUUGAACUCGGGUCUCCAGGAUAAGGAACCCACCUCCUAACCAGUUGAACCACAGCUUAGUUUGUUACACACUCCUCGGAAUAAUUAUACUUAUUUAGUUCGAAACGCGAAGAGGUACAGCGUAAAUAGCUCGGCGCCAAGAUCUACGGCGCCAAGCUUGGCGCCAAGAUCCAUGGCGCCAAGGCUUGGCGCCAUCAUGGCUGGCGCCAAGCCCCUGCCACGUCGGCAUCCGCGUCAGCAGCUGCGCAAAGACCUUGGCGCCAGGAUAGCUGGCGCCGAGACGUUGUAGCUUGGCGCCAGCGUGGAUGGCGCCAAGCUAAGGGUCCAUUUUUGGAAUUGGUUCCGCCAGGGGCCUAUUUGUGAGAAUCUUUCACAAAAAGGGCUAAAAAAUAAAAAAGUCGGAUGCUAAUCCAAUAGUGGGAUUAUUUUGCGCUAAACCCCCCACCUGCCGGCCACUUUUUCAAAUCCCUCCUGCAGCCAUGCGUCCUUUUCCCCCUGCACCUCUAACCCUAUUCAUUAGAUUAGCAUCUUGUGGUCUUGAUCGAUAGUUUUCAAGGUUGCACGGGGUAGAUGGUUUCCAUCAGAUAUGUUCCCUCUAAACAUAGGGUAUAUCUAAGUGCAUAGCAAAGUUUAUGAAUCUAGAAAAGUCAAAACAACUUAUAAUUUGGGACGUAGGGAGUAAGGGGGUGUUUGGAUACUCCAUGCUAAAGUUUAGCACCUAUCACAUCGGAUGUUUGGAUGCUAAUUAGGAGUAUUAAACAUAGGCUAAUUACAAAACUAAUUGCACAGAUGGAGUCUAAUUCGCAAGACGAAUCUAUUAAACCUAAUUAGUCUAUGAUUUGACAAUGUGGUGCUACAGUAACCAUUUGCUAAUGAUGGGUUAAUUAGGUUUAAUAGAUUCGUCUCGCGAAUCAGCAUAGGGGUUCUGCAAUUAGUUUCAUAAGUAACUCAUGUUUAGUCCUCCUAAUUAGCAUCCGAACAUCUGAUGUGACACUGCUAAAGUUUAGCAUAUAGUAUCAAACACCCUAUAAGUAUAGGAAGUACGGUCCAACUAAAUUAGCAGUCAUGGAUGGCCAUGAGAACGUCGCAAGUUUUCCACGAGUCGUCCUGUAGCAACUUCUGUGAGGGUACUAUGGGGCAAUAUUUCCUAGGAGAAAGCUGGCAUGAUCCGGACUAUAUGGUCAGCAGAAAUUUGCGUCACACCUCUGACUCACUAGAAAGUACUACCACUAGAAAUAGUUUCGAAAUAUGCCGAGCCGUAUCGAUAAAAACGCAAAGGUAGGUAUUGGCCUCAUGCUAGGUUGAUCGAGAUGCAUUGCUCGCCUAGACCCAUAGGCGACUAUAAUUUGGUCAAGUUAGAUAAAUUUAAUUUUGAAUAAAAAAUAAAUUAUUAUAGCUUAGAACGGAUGGAGUACAAUAAUUUUUUUUAAAAAAAAAGAGUUUUGAAUGCACGUGAGAGUUUUUUUUAAACAAUAUCACACGUGACAGUUGAUUUGUCCAGUGGAUGAAAUGUUCGCACGAAUUUUCUUUAAAAUUCAUCCCGUCUCGUAUGCGUGCUGAAAGUGGUAGUGUUACCGCCGUACGAUCACGAGGACCCACACGAGUAGACCAGUGAAGUGCGUCGAGUAGGACCGGCCGGUUGAAGUGAAUGAAGAGUCCUGUACGUCUGGACGUCAGUGAAUGAGUGAAAGACGUGGAGCUUCCCGGCGUGUGCGGGCAUGGUGGGGCGCCCUGUGUUGGCUUAUUGUGGCCUUGGGUCCGCGCUUGCAGCCCCGCUGCAGAACGCUUGCCACGACCGCCAGCGACCACCGAAUGCAACCCCUGUAAUUGUUUGCGCUAGUUCGAGGGCGGGAAGGCUUGAUCUGCGCACAACUUGGGUUGGACGGACAUAACAGACCAGCUAGCAGAGUGAGUGCCAAGAACGUCUGGGGACUGGGAAACCACCAUUCUGAAUGCAGGCCAGGCGCCCAUGCAAGGCCUACUCGAGAGUUUUUCGACUGCCUUGUGUGCAUGCGUAAUAAAAAACCUAACCACCUCACCUUCAUACCAAGCGUGAAACGCCGGUACCAGUUAGCCAGUACAUCUGAUCAGUGAUUUCACAAUAUGAACAUAACAGUUGCAUAUCAUGCUAAACUACUUGGUGCAAUUUUGUAUGCAGCAGCAGAUUCGCGUGCUUAUUCAUUUGCAGAUGCAGGUUCUCUGUUAUUCUUGUGAAUGAUCAAGAUGAAGCAAUUCAAUGAAGCUAUGUCGGGACUGAUAUUUGUGCUGUGAGCUAUUCAAAUAUGCCAUGGGAGACUACCAUUUGUGCUGUCUCUGUCAGGAAUGCUAGAUCCUAGAUACAGUACCACUCAAGUUUAUCUUUCACUUCAAUAUUAGUCAUGUAAAGGCAAUCCCCCUUCCCUUCCCUUAGGGUGCUUAUGGAUUGACCGCGAUGUUCUAGCAGGAUUUUAUCACUACAAUACCUCGGCACUACAGAGAACUUUUGUUAGGCACCUUAUAGACAAUAUCAUUUAAUUAUCUUUUGCAAUACUAGGUACAUUUUCAGCAUACAAAGAAAUGGUAUAAAAUUAAUAGUGUCGAGAACAUAGCCCUUAAUAUGGUCAGUUCCAAACAAUGUGAUAGGAGAUUGCGGAGAGGGGCAGGGGCAUAUGCUCCUGUGUUAAAAACACUUAAACGUUAUGCUACAUCCAAAAGGCAUAUGUACACCCAUUAAACUAUAAUUUCUAUGGUGAAUAAAGAAAAGUAGUAGUUUACGUUGCUUAUACAUAUGAUAUGGCACAUUUUUGUUUUAUUGUAUCGUGUACUUUUUCUUGAGAUCGAUCAGGUCGUUGUGUACGAUCAAAUCCCCCAUGAGAAAGAGAAAAAUCCCUUUUUAAUAAUGGAAGAUGAUAUUCCAGUUUUAGAUAUUCUUUUUCAAGAAUGUAUCAGACCACAAAUAUUACAGAGGGACAUAUAUUCCAAAAGAAUAUGUAGCCAAGACAUCAGAAGAUCUGAUGUAUCAAAACGAAAUAAUAAAAUAUACAGCUACUUCAGUAAUCUCCAUAUAUUUCUCCUUAAUAGGUGAAAUCGAAACCAAAACAUGAGCCAAUCCAACAACGGGGGAGAAGCAACUCCACCUACUGAUUGUCCAACAACGGGGGAGAAGCAACUCCACCUACUGAUUGACGCUCUGACCACAAAAUCAAGACUGUAGCAAAACCAUCCACACUUCUACUAAUAUAGGUAGUGGGGAUAAGUAAGAUACUAGCAGCUGUUGAAGACUCCAAGUUGGGUAACCACAGUACCCGCACGAAGUACACCACCACUUAAAAUCUCCGAAACGACACCUCCACUGAGGAAGCAACGAUGGUUGCUGCUGCCGCUGCCCGCUAGGACAAAAUUUUCACUUGGAGACUUAGUGAUGGGGUGGGCUCAAGACAAAGUGAUGGCACCCUUGAGAAGGAAAACGGCACCCAAAGGCGUCAUCGCCACUGAAACCGGCUAAAGCUAGCAUGACUUUCGCCAUCGCACCCGAGCCCACCACAACACAGCCCUAAGGUCGACGAAACGCGUCCCAUACCACACCAUCGCUGAUCAUUGAAGGACAAAGCACCUGAACCUGACAUUGACAAAGUGCGUCCCAUACCACAUACGCCGCACGGCAAACUCCUGAGCACCUGUUGCAAGCACGACAUUCGUGAAUGUAAUAACCAGAGUCCACACUACGCCAUCAACAACCGACCAGCCAUCCUCCCCGGUAAGGUUGAGCAGAUCUAUUCGUGCGACCACCACACCAACCAAGCAAAGAAUCAGGAUGAGCCACCACGACGCCGUACGUGGAGAGAGCCACCAACCCCGCUGCAAGCGCGAGGCCGUCGGUGCAAGAUCCACACGAAGCAGUCUGAGCACCUGACGACCAGUGCCACGAGAGGGAGUUUUGUUGCAGCCUUGCAGCGUACCAGCUCUCCCGGCAGGCCGUGGUUGCCGCAUCUACAACACACCGCUCGUGCCCCUUCCGGCAUGUGGAGAAGACGGCAGCAGCGGCGGCGAGCCGCCCACUGCUGGCCACACCCACGAGCGGCCAUCCGCACAUCCUCCUGUCGUAGAUCCGGCUUGGGGGUCAUCAGAUCCGGCCUCGCCGGCGCCGGAUCUGUGGCCUCUUCGCGCCGUCCCGCCCCGACAGGCCUGCUCUGGCCGAGAUGCCUAGCCGUCGCCUUCCUUGCUGGCCGCCAGGCUUCCAGUGGCCUGCUCGGGCGAUGGAGAGGGGAGGAGGAAGAGGGCAGGGGGCUGGAGGUGGCGGCGUGAGGGAGCCCCCACUCGCCGUGGCGCUAGGCUAGGAACAAGAGAAAAAUCCCUGACCAACUAUAAUUGAUUUAUGUGGAAUCCAUUGGAACACUUGCAGCUAUAUCCAAGAUGUGUUUUUAUUUGGCAAAAGUUUGUAACAAACAAUUAUACUAUAAUUUGCCCUUCACAAGUUAUGUUCCAAAGAUCAUUUAGAAAUUCAUUAUUGCCGCAUUAUUACAAGCGUAUAAAUCUCUCCUUAUUCAUCUGCGCACUUUCACUAGUUGGUUGAUCCAUGAUGGAGAUCUCGAGCCACAAUAUAUCCAUAGUUCGUGUGGUAGUGAGCAAGAUAGAGGUAGCAGCUCCCAGUGUCUCCAUAGGCCUUGGCCGGUGGCGUCGGAUGCAAAGGGAGGUUUAGGAAUAAUACACACAUGUGAGUGUAUUUGGAUCUCAGGCGUCUGCGAUGGCGUAUCUUUGCGGGCAUGAGUGUGUUUGUAUCCGGCUUGCACUCGAUUUGAUCAGCCGAAAACUUCCUUUAGUAGUCUUAUAAUAACUAAGCCAAAUUGUAUUUCCUAGCAGUUGACUGAUUGGCGGUGGCCAAAUGGAAAUGUAGAUUAUAGAGUUGAAAUCUCCCUAUUCUUAAUGUCGCCUUAGGUUUGUUAACCAGUCAGCGAUUUUGGCCAAUAGUUUUCCACGCUCCGGUAAUUGUCUACAGGAAGAUCUGUAUGCCUUUCACGUCAAGACUCCUUGAACGGGACGUUGUUAGAAGAAGAAAUUGCACCAAGUAUCCUAACCGAUGUCAUGUGUGCAUGCUAGGAAAACUAUUGGCCACUCUCCGGUAUCCAUAAAAUCUUGUGAUGAGUUAAUUAUCACCGGAAUGUACUCAAAAGCGACUAUAGAGUUGAGUCAAUUGCAUUCCUCACAUGUCACAUCUUGACCGACCGGGAUAAUUUAUUACGGAAAGGAACUGAAACCACCAGAAGUGUGCUGCAGGUAAGCUAAGGCCUGGUUUGGUUACUCUCGCUUAUUUUUAGCACCCAUCACAUUAAAUGUUUAGAGACUAAUUAGGAGUAUUAAACGUAGACUAUUUACAAAACCCAUUACAUAAGUGGAGGCUAAACAGCGAGACGAAUCUAUUAAACCUAAUUAGUCUAUGAUUUGACAAUGUGUUGCUACAGUAAACAUUUGCUAAUGAUGGAUUAAUUAGGCUUAAUAGAUUCGUGUCGUCGUUUAGCCUCCAUCUUAUGUAAUGGGUUUUGUAAAUAGUCUACGUUUAAUACUCCUAAUUAGUAUCUAAACAUUCGAUGUGACACGUACUAAAAAUAAGCAAAGGGAACCAAACGCCCGCUAAAGCUCGUGGAAGGUAUUGCAAGUCUUCCAUAUAUACAGUCAGUUCAGUAGCAAUGGUCAAUAUAAUAGCCAUGACUAACCACAAGUCCACAAGACUACCGAAUAAGCUGCUAUAUAUCGUGUUCGUGUGGGGGCGUGGAGUGACCGAUCAGGAACGACUCAGGAGUCAGGAGUCGACGGGUCAAGUGCGUCGGAUACGGGCCCGGGUUGGAUCUCGGACAGGCAAAGCAAAGUAAAAGGAGCCAGUGCCAAUAGCGGCUGGGCAACCGCCACUUUCGAUGUUCCUGCUAGUCAGCGUACCGUCCGGCAACCGGCGUACAGAACCACGCGCAACACCACCGGGAUGAGUACUGGCAGCUGCUCACACACUAGGAGAAGUGACAUUUCGUCCGAUACGUUAGUACCGACCACAUUUAGAUCCAACAUUCGUACCGAGCCUAAUGCUCAUCGAAACUUUAAUAUCGGAUGGUAACACCAACCGGUGCUACCAAAAGGAAAGCAUUCCUUUCCAAUUGCAUGUGUUGUACAUGUGAGAUGGUAAGGAAAGUUCGCGCGAGAUGAAUAGAGGUCCCGGGUUCGAAUCCCGUGCACCGCGCACGCACAUAUUUCGCGUGAAAAAUCACGCAUAUUUCACCGAGGCUAGAGGAGAGAGAGAGAGCGGGGAGAGAGCAGGGAGAGGGUCUGCUCGGGAUGAGGGGCGAGCUUACAAGUAGGCCGUGGAGAACGAUGUAGCGCAAAAGCUCUGGUGCGUGUAACACGCACCGAUGUGAGCUGGUGGACCAUCUACGAGUGGGGGGCGGACCAUCCGCGGCUGACGUGGCGAAGGGGUUGACCAGGUCAUGCUUGACCAAGUCAAAGAGAGGAUGUGUAACGGCGGACCGUUGGAGGUCAAGUGGUGGAUAGUCAACAAAGUUAUCAAGUGUUAUAUAUUUGCAAACCUUGAUUGAUGCUUCAUGAUGCAUUAUGAUGACAUGAUUAAGGCUGUUACAUCAUGUGACACAAUUAUUUCCAUAAGAGCACAUCCACGAAGUCCUUCAAUGAAACAAUGAGAUACACUUUGUUUCGCACAUAAAUGAUUAAUGAAAAUGGGGUUAUUAUUGUCAAGAGUUCCACAAGUAUCACUCAAUGAUCCAAAACUAUAUACAUCAUUCUUCGGCCUUCUCGGUUAGUUCAGCUGUAUGAUAGUACUCUGGGUGUAAGUAGCUAAAUGUUUCUUGGACAAUUGUCACCUCAUGAAUCUCAUCAAGUGCACCAAAGUCUGAAACUUAUAUGAUGAUGAAGUUAUCAUCCAAUUGUACAUUGGACGCCUUCAUGUCUCCAUGGCAAAUCGUCAUCGCAACAGGUAAUUCCAUAUAAUUAAGUGCACCUGUUGCUUCCAUCGCAACCCUUAUACACAUAUCGUCAUCCCAUGAUAACAAUUAUUUGUUGUAAUAUUUGUUUGAAAAGUCAUACAGUGUGCCAUUUGAUACGAAUUGCAAUGGCAGCUCAUCAUCUUGGCAACACCCAAAAUGUUUCACCAAAUCGCGGUGUAUGAUUUUAGACAAAAUAACCUUAUUGAUGAACUGGUCCAUCUAUGUUUGGUCUACUAUUUUGGACUUUUUUUACAGCCACCACAUGUUGCUCCAAUAGUAUUCGAUAUAAAUUAUGUCGUCAGGAGUGAAGCUAGGAUUCAGACAUGGGACGGUGGGGGUGGAGAGCUGUUUCCUGCUGUAAAAUCGUUAUAUAUUAAUUACUGAGGUCAUUAUUGUCUCUCUUAGAAAAAAACCUCGUUGGGAGGGGGGCACUUGCCCCACCCCUUUCAUCCAUCCUGCCUUGCGUCUCUCCUGCGUGCCAUGUCUUUCACUCCAGUUUUUCCAAGGAGAAUAUCUUCAUUUUACUUUUAGUACUUAAUUUGGAGAGGUCAAUUGAAUUAAUCAAAGUUAAUAUUAUAGGCUUCAAUUUACAUAAUAUAUUACAAAUUUCAUAUACAAAUAUAUACUUUGUAGAAUCUGCUAGGGUUCCGUUACUAGAAUUUGAUAUUGUCGGGCAAAAAAAACGAUCCUAGGAUCCUGAUCCUGACAACCUUAUUUCAUAGGACAAGAUUUUUAAAGUAUGACCACACUUGAGUAUGUUGGAUAAUAUUUUCUUGAAAACAUAUUUUAUGAAGGUGGAAUAUUUUCUGUAAGUGCAUGUAAAACAAUGUUUGGACCGAACCUUGCUCAAUCUGAAUCGAAGUAAAAUAAAGAAAAAAUAGGGAAAAAAAAGAAAACGGAGCUAAUAGCUAGUUGGUUCAUAAAUGAGAAAAGGAACUCUAGGUGGCUGAUGGAGCGCGAGUACAUUGGUAUCAUCUAAUAGGCGAUCUUAUGCAUGGACACAUAAUUUUGAUACGGCUGAGCAGACAACCCGUACAAUAAGUUGUCUUAUAAGUUAUCUGUUAAAGCUAUAUAAUUUCUUAAUUUAUGCAUAUGAAAAAAAAAUAUUAUGAAUUGCAUGGCAACAACAACUCGUACAAUGUUUGUUGAGUUGUCUCGCAGUCCUAAAAUUUAGCUCAUGAGGCGGUUGUUUCGUGAAACAACGACCUCUUUCUCUCUCCUCACUCUCUCUCCUCCACGUCAUAAAAAAUCACGUGUCACUAUAUAAGACGAUCUAUGAGACUACUAACAUGUAGCAAUGUACUUGCUCUUAAAUGUUGCUGUGCCUGUAGCUAGGGAAGAAGUCGUCGUAGCCAUAUGCUAGAUGCUCUGAGUAGUUGCUUUCAUUGUUAGACGCAUAACUGUCCUUGUUCAUUUGGCCACUUUUACAGCUUGGUUGAUCCAUGAUGACAAUCUCAAGCCAUACACGUACACUUCGCAGACCCCUGGAUUUUAUCCAACUCGAGUGAAGAUCGUUUGCGUGGAACUUAUAAUACCCUGUGAUAGAAUAACCUUAACAAUAGGGAGCACUUCAUCAUCUGGCUCUUCUAUUGCCGUGUUAUGUGGCGAACAAGUUUGAGCCAAAAGGAUUGUAUCGUAUGCCCCGGUACUCCCGCGACAAUCUACCUCCACGUUUGAUUAUUUCUCCGUGGUCCUUCUCAGCCUUUUGUCAUCAACUCAACUACUUGUGCAAGCACCGACCAGAUCGUUAGUAUCAUGGCCAAACAUGAAACAUGUAGAGCUCAACAUUUCAAGCUUGCAGUUGCAGACCACAGCGUGCAAAUCAGAGUUAUCCAUCGAGCAAGACGCCCUGAACCGGGCCUCCCCCGGCCGGGCUCAUGGUGAUGCUGAAACAGAUAGCAGAAACAUAAACACCAUUGCCGUCGUUAUAAGUGGUGAAAGUUGACCUAAUAGUGAUGGUUCCCAAAUUUAGCAUGGGAGGGAUUAGGGAGGAUGAAUCAGGUCGGUGGCCUUCCGCUUUGUAGAUGCUCUGCAAGUGUGGAAAACGACCAAAGCAGCGAGAAUUACAGAGGUUGCUAUCAAUGAAUCAAUCAGGUCUAAGUGCAGUCGGCAAGGUGGUAGCACCCUGACUCGAUCAUCGCGUCAUCGUUCCUAGGGAUGGAAAACGACAACCAAAAUGCUUAGGUUCACGCCAGCACGCCGGCGUUCUAAAGCAAUCCCAAAGGAAUAUAUCCUUCGAUAGUGCACACUAACAUCAGAGUCUCACUUUUGAUUGAGCAGACGCAUCGCCUCCCAAUUUUCAUAGUGAGGAGUGACGUUAGGCAUGAUGAUUCUCCUGUGUCUUCCGCACCAGAGAAACGGGAUGCUAACAUAAAGACUCGGUGGCUGCAGUACUCGUACAGAGCGAUGGCCCAGUCACCUACGGCGCGACUAUGCUAAUUGCCAGGCCCUGGAGGAAAUGACACACCGGCCUGAGCCAUGAACAAAGCCAUGGCCCAGUUUGAUAAGCACUAUUGAUAGAACUUCCGGAGAGGGUAGCAUUUAAGCAUUCCUGCAUUCCGUACCAUGAUCCCCUCACGACUGUGAAUUUAGAACAAGCCCAUUGCCUCUUACAGCAGGGAUGUGCUCAUUGGAUUAGCGAAGAAGCGCUUUCUACACAAGGAUGCUUCUUUACUGGGGUCUUGCUUGAACAGGCCCUGCAGCAUGGUCGGAGCUGUAGGCACAGGUUCUUCGAACACCCGAACGUUAAGGUGCCCAUCAAGUAUCAACUUCUCCAACAGGGUCCGGCAAGUCUGCAAUAAAGCAAUGCAAAGCUAAUCAAGCAAGAAAGCAGUACCCCAGCGGCUCAGAACAUGGUUGUAUUUGGCCUUUCUUCUACCUGAUGAAAUUUGGUUGGCAUCUCUUCUGCAAGACCAGUACAAAAGAAAGUACAGGAAAGAGACAAAAUUAAGCAGAUACCUUACGAUUCAAUACAUCCAUCCGAAACUGGACGUAGGAUCUUUCUGAACCAAUAUAACUUCUUGUCUCUUGUGUGCUAGCCAUCGAAAGUGAAGAGAGCGCGACAUAUAAUCACUAGUCGGCGGUUCGGAACACUGACACAAGGGGUGUCCCGGAAGAGACUUGGUGACUGGAAGCAAUACUCUUGUGUGAGUGCUUCAACAACAUGGACUAGUGGUGCCUUAGUGCCUACUGAUACCACGGGAUAAAAUCAUCGUGUCAAGAGUUUGCUUCCCCUUAUCCUCACCUCUUACGUUUCCGCAUUUCAUACUUGCAACUUGUGUGCCUUUACUUUCUUAGUGUAACAUCAUGUUAGGAUUGGCUCUAGGUUGCAAAACUUAUUUUGGGAUAAGAGUUUCACACUAGAUCAACCAUAGUUACACAUCUUGAUAGCAUGAUCUAAUUUAAGUUUGAUGCAAAAGUAGUGGAAGCCAUAAGUUGAGGUUUUACCUCUUCCCCUCUUAGGCUACGAGCACCCCUUUCCCCUCUUAAGCUACGAGCACCGAUUCCUUACAGUGAUAGCCAUCUCAUGGAAUGUAUUGCUUCAUGUAUCAACAAUGGUUGGUACGAAUAUUCCGCACUCACAAUGUUGCAGAAGAUUAGAAAUCUAACAUACGACAAGCUAACUGGGGUUUUCCUUAUGCAGAACAGUUGCAUAUGUAGUGUUUAUUAGCUAGAGUGUACUUUUUAGAUCAGCAAAUAGAGUUCCGAAGUUCUCUGUUCAACACUUUUCGAUACUGUCACAUGAAAAGACAUGCAACGGAAGAGUGGGGUUCCUAUUGUCCUGAUGCCAUCACGGCGUCAUGCCAGAUCUUUGAGUUAUGAGUGUCACUUCAUAAUAACCAUGCUAAUACUUUGCAAAAAGAUGCUGUAAUAUGUUGCAGCUUAAAUCAUAUUCCGUAUAUCAGUCAGCGGUCUACUGGAACCACCUAUUAAGCCACUGGCAAUUUAUACCCAAUUGUAGCUGGACCCGUUGAUAACCACAACAGUUUUCUUAUACAAGCUUAUCUUUAGUACAGUAACUUAUGUACAAAUAUAAAAAGUAUACAACAGUCGCAGUCUACAAUAUAUUGUACACGUGAAAUGCAUCUAUGUGAUAUAGUAUCAUCGAAAGGAAAGUAAUAUAAUGUGAAUCUUCAAUAAAAUAUAUGAUACCUCAGAUGCAUUAUAUUCAACAUCCAAGCAGGCCAUCGGUUAUCUUGCACAAAUGUAAUUAGCGUGGCAAAGAUGCAAAUUCUUGCUCCAAACUGUAGCACCCAGAGCUCCCAGCAUUGACAAGAUCGAUAUGCCCAUAUAAGUUCUUAUCUUGUGGGCAUAACAAAGGCUCAAUAUCUGCAUCUUUUUCAUCUAAACCUUUUCUAAGUCUCUUUGUUCUUAGAAAUUGCAACCUCAUAUCUACUUCUUUCAUAGUCGGUCUGUCUCCUCCUUUGACCCUUAAGCAUGCUUCUGUAAGUGAGGCGAUUUCAUUAAUCUCUUCCUGGUCUGCCUCUUCCACAACUUGUUUAUCCAGUAUUUCUACAAGGGACCCUGCAUGAAGUCCUUCAAUGAAGUAAUGUGAUAGGCUUUGUUUAGCACCUAAAUCAUUGAUAAAAAUUGGCUUCUUCCUUAUCAAAAGUUCAACAAGUAUUACUCCAAAACUAUAUACAUCACUCUUUUCAGUAAGCUGACCGGUAUGAUAGUAUUCUGGGUCCAAGUAGCCGAAUGUACCUUGGACAAUCGUAACCACGUGAGUCUCAUCAAGCGAAAGAGAUCUUGAAGCACCAAAGUCUGAGACCUUUGUGGUGAAGUUGUCAUCCAAGAGUAUAUUUGAAGACUUAACAUCUCUGUGGAAAAUUGGUAUUGUAGCAGCUGAGUGUAGAUAAGCAAGUGCCCCUGCUGCUUCCAUUGCAAUCCUAAUGCGAUCAUCCCAUGAAAGCAAGCAUUUUAUUGUAGUAUCAGAGUGAAGAAGUCCAUACAGAGUGCCAUUUGAAAUGAACUCAUAGACAAGCAUGGGCACCUCAUCUUCUAGGCAGCAACCAAACAGUUUCACCACAUUGCGAUGGAUGAUUUGAGACAAAAUGACAACCUCAUUGAUAAACUGGUCUAUCUCUAUUUGUUCCACUAUUUUGGAUUUUUUUAUGGCCACCACACGUUGGUCAGAUAGAAUCCCUUUAUAAACCGUGCCAUGUCCUCCAUGACCAAGAACACGAGUAGCAUCAAAGUUGUUUGUUGCCUCCUCUAGUUCCUCCAAUGAGAAUAUUUUAGUUUUGCUUGUGGUGCUUUCAUCAGAGAUCAAUUGCUCCAAUAGCAGGCCUUGAUUUUUCUUGAAGUGUGCUCUUCUGAUUCUCUUUUGGAUGCCCCUUUUCCACUUAUUGGCAAGUACGAUUACACCCAAUGCAAUAAUUAUGGAGCCAAUGCCACAACUGAUUCCAAUUGCAAUACCUGUAUGCAUUCGACAUUCUUAUGAAAUCAUACUAAUGUUUAUAAAUUGCAAUUGCAAGGUGCUUUUGUUUGCUUGACACUUACCCAAAAGAAGAUUCCGUUGCUUAGUUGAUGUAAUACACAGCUUCUUUGUCGAAUCAAAUUCUUUAUUAUGAGGGCAUGGUGUGCACUUAUAGGUCCCAGGAAAGUUAUGACAUGUACCAUUGCAGUAGUUUGGCAGGGAGCAUUCAUCAAUAUCUGUAGAUAACUCAUUCAAUAUAUAAUUAAUGGUUCCGAUCUAUGCUUGCAUUAUUACUAGCUGCUGAUAAGAAGUCCCCCUUUUAAAUUUGUCAUCGAAUAUAUAUGUGGAUGGUUAUAGAUAUAUGUAUGUGAAUUACUGAAUUGAUUUACUUUCCUUCUAUUUUCAAGUACAAGAGAUAUUAGUGCUGUACGCAUACCGAAGGAGAAGCCGGAUGUACCUGUGCAGCCUUCCUGUACGUACGGGUUUCCUUUGAAGCCACGAGAACACUUGCAACGAUAUCCCAUAAAUAUUUUCCCAUGGGCCACGUUUAGGCAAUAACUGUUUUCACUGCGGCAUGCAUACUUAGUUAUAUUCUGCAAAGCUUGUUCACAAGUUGAAUUGGUAAUCGCCCAUC
RNAcentral lists this long non-coding RNA (16809 nucleotides) under Setaria italica (foxtail millet). Its description in RNAcentral is "long non-coding RNA (SITA_LNC000582)". The record is from RNAcentral. Lineage: Eukaryota; Viridiplantae; Streptophyta; Magnoliopsida; Poales; Poaceae.